CGGAGGGUGCAAGCGUUAUCCGGAUUUACUGGGUUUAAAGGGUGCGUAGGUGGGUCUGUAAGUCAGUGGUGAAAUCUUCAAGCUUAACUUGGAAACUGCCAUUGAUACUAUAGGUCUUGAAUUAUCUGGAGGUAAGCGGAAUAUGUCAUGUAGCGGUGAAAUGCUUAGAUAUGACAUAGAACACCAAUUGCGAAGGCAGCUUACUACGGAUUGAUUGACACUGAGGCACGAAAGCGUGGGAUCAAACAGGAUU
RNAcentral lists this ribosomal RNA (253 nucleotides) under uncultured bacterium. RNAcentral's name for it is "partial 16S ribosomal RNA". It matches the Rfam family "Bacterial small subunit ribosomal RNA", at positions 526 to 779 of the family's 1533-position model. The record is from RNAcentral.